AACGAACGCUGGCGGCAGGCCUAACACAUGCAAGUCGAGCGGAUGAGUGGAGCUUGCUCCAUGAUUCAGCGGCGGACGGGUGAGUAAUGCCUAGGAAUCUGCCUGGUAGUGGGGGACAACGUUUCGAAAGGAACGCUAAUACCGCAUACGUCCUACGGGAGAAAGCAGGGGACCUUCGGGCCUUGCGCUAUCAGAUGAGCCUAGGUCGGAUUAGCUAGUAGGUGAGGUAAUGGCUCACCUAGGCGACGAUCCGUAACUGGUCUGAGAGGAUGAUCAGUCACACUGGAACUGAGACACGGCCCAGACUCCUACGGGAGGCAGCAGUGGGGAAUUUUGGACAAUGGGCGCAAGCCUGAUCCAGCAAUGCCGCGUGCAGGAUGAAGGCC
RNAcentral lists this ribosomal RNA (386 nucleotides) under uncultured bacterium. RNAcentral's name for it is "bacterial SSU rRNA". It matches the Rfam family "Bacterial small subunit ribosomal RNA", at positions 29 to 416 of the family's 1533-position model. The record is from RNAcentral.